AAGCAGGAGCAGGAGGUUCGAGAGGAUCCGGACUUAAACAUGUUAACUGAAGUCAUUCUUAGUACUGAAAGGACAAUUUGAAAACACCGAUUUCCCCUAAGGCUUCGCCCCCCGUGCAUGGCUGCAAGUGCAAACUAUGCGGCAAAAUGAUUGGAAGAUUGAGCACCUUGGGAAACCACGUAAUGAACCAACAUUACACAGCAAUAAGAGG
Molecule: long non-coding RNA, 211 nt
Organism: Drosophila miranda
Lineage: Eukaryota; Metazoa; Arthropoda; Insecta; Diptera; Drosophilidae
Exons: 2
Source: RefSeq, a predicted model, not a curated record